This 64-nucleotide ribosomal RNA is filed under the name Erysiphe verniciferae. RNAcentral describes it as "partial 28S ribosomal RNA". The stretch from base 8 to 64 matches the Rfam family "Eukaryotic large subunit ribosomal RNA", at positions 1 to 57 of the family's 3401-position model. The record is from RNAcentral. Lineage: Eukaryota; Fungi; Ascomycota; Leotiomycetes; Helotiales; Erysiphaceae.
CACAGGUUGAUCUCGAAUCAGGUAGGAAUACCCGCUGAACUUAAGCAUAUCAAUAAGCGGAGGA